UAUAGUUUACUGAAAACAUCAAGUUGCAAACUUGAAGACCGGAUGUAUAUAUAUAUAUAUAU
Molecule: transfer RNA, 62 nt
Filed under: Semisulcospira coreana
Lineage: Eukaryota; Metazoa; Mollusca; Gastropoda; Semisulcospiridae
Description: tRNA-Cys
Source: RNAcentral